GACGAACGCUGGCGGCGUGCCUAAUACAUGCAAGUCGAGCGCAGGAAAUCGACGGAACCCUUCGGGGGGAAGUCGACGGAAUGAGCGGCGGACGGGUGAGUAACACGUAAAGAACCUGCCCUCAGGUCUGGGAUAACCACGAGAAAUCGGGGCUAAUACCGGAUGGGUCAUCGGACCGCAUGGUCCGAGGAUGAAAGGCGCUUCGGCGUCGCCUGGGGAUGGCUUUGCGGUGCAUUAGCUAGUUGGUGGGGUAAUGGCCCACCAAGGCGACGAUGAAUAGCCGACCUGAGAGGGUGAUCGGCCACACUGGGACUGAGACACGGCCCAGACUCCUACGGGAGGCAGCAGUGGGGAAUCUUCCACAAUGGACGAAAGUCUGAUGGAGCAACGCCGCGUGAACGAUGAAGGCCUUCGGGUCGUAAAGUUCUGUUGUAAGGGAAGAACAAGUGCCGCAGGCAAUGGCGGCACCUUGACGGUACCUUGCGAGAAAGCCACGGCUAACUACGUGCCAGCAGCCGCCGUAA
This 524-nucleotide ribosomal RNA is filed under the name uncultured bacterium. RNAcentral's name for it is "partial 16S ribosomal RNA". It matches the Rfam family "Bacterial small subunit ribosomal RNA", at positions 28 to 523 of the family's 1533-position model. The record is from RNAcentral.